RNAcentral lists this ribosomal RNA (174 nucleotides) under Clostridioides difficile. RNAcentral describes it as "partial 23S ribosomal RNA". It matches the Rfam family "Bacterial large subunit ribosomal RNA", at positions 2756 to 2925 of the family's 2925-position model. The record is from RNAcentral. Lineage: Bacteria; Bacillati; Bacillota; Clostridia; Peptostreptococcales; Peptostreptococcaceae.
CGGAAUGGAUAAGCGCUGAAAGCAUCUAAGCGCGAAGCCAACUUCAAGAUAACAUUUCCCACCGCAAGGGUAAGACCCCAGAAAGACUAUCUGGUUGAUAGGUCGAAGGUGUAAGUGCAGCAAUGUAUUUAGCUUAUCGAUACUAAUAGGUCGAGGACUUGACCAAUAUUUAUU